GGUGUAGUUCAUUUGGUAGAAUGCUUGCCUAGCGUGCAUGAAGCCUUUGGUUUGAUUCCUAGCACC
This 66-nucleotide transfer RNA is filed under the name Rattus norvegicus (Norway rat). It matches the Rfam family "tRNA". From Rfam's summary of the family: Transfer RNA (tRNA) molecules are approximately 80 nucleotides in length. Their secondary structure includes four short double-helical elements and three loops (D, anti-codon, and T loops). Lineage: Eukaryota; Metazoa; Chordata; Mammalia; Rodentia; Muridae. The record is from Rfam by way of RNAcentral.